Molecule: ribosomal RNA, 225 nt
Filed under: uncultured bacterium
Lineage: Bacteria
Description: partial 16S ribosomal RNA
Rfam family: Bacterial small subunit ribosomal RNA
Source: RNAcentral
UGGGUAACCUGCCCUGUACACACGGAUAACAUACCGAAAGGUAUGCUAAUACGAGAUAAUAUGUUUUGAUCGCAUGGUCGAGACAUCAAAGCUCCGGCGGUACAGGAUGGACCCGCAUCUGAUUAGCUAGUUGGCGAGGUAAUGGCUCACCAAGGCGACGAUCAGUAGCCGACUGAGAGGUAAUCGGCCACAUUGGAACUGAGACACGGUCCAAACUNUACGGGA